UUCUCUAGUUUUCCAAUAUUGACCCUUUUUCCGGCUCUUGUGCUUCUUCUUCGUGAUCGGCUAUCCACAUCGUUUACACUGAGAGGCCGCAGCAAAAUGAGGAGCCUGAGCUAUCACAUCCGAACCCUAGCCUUCGUCCUUGGCAGUGAAAAGACUGCCAAGGACGUUCUGGUUUAAAGUUACAAGACGGCUGCCAGUGGAUUCUCUGCUAAGCUCACUCAACAGGUCGCCGAAAAUCUCCACACCUAAAGAAGAGGUCAAGCGUCUGCCGGGUGGGAAGGU
Molecule: long non-coding RNA, 282 nt
Organism: Rosa rugosa (rugosa rose)
Lineage: Eukaryota; Viridiplantae; Streptophyta; Magnoliopsida; Rosales; Rosaceae
Exons: 3
Source: RefSeq, a predicted model, not a curated record